UACAGAGGUCUCAAGCGUUGUUCGGAUUCAUUGGGCGUAAAGGGUGCGUAGGCGGCGCGGUAAGUCGGGUGUGAAAGCCCCUGGCUUAACUGGGGAAGUGCACCCGAAACUGGGUAGCUAGAGUGCAAAAGAGGGUCGCGGAAUUCCCGGUGUAGAGGUGAAAUUCGUAGAUAUCGGGAGGAACACCGGUGGCGAAGGCGGCGACCUGGGUUGACACUGACGCUGAGGCGCGAAAGCGUGGGGAGCAAACAGG
Molecule: ribosomal RNA, 253 nt
Filed under: uncultured bacterium
Lineage: Bacteria
Description: partial 16S ribosomal RNA
Rfam family: Bacterial small subunit ribosomal RNA
Source: RNAcentral